UACGAGGGGGGCAAGCGUUGUUCGGAAUUAUUGGGCGUAAAGGGCGCGUAGGCGGUUUGACAAGUCUUAUGUGAAAUCUCUGGGCUCAACCCAGAGUCUGCAUGGGAAACUGUCGGGCUUGAGUAUGGGAGAGGUGAGUGGAAUUUCCGGUGUAGCGGUGAAAUGCGUAGAUAUCGGGAGGAACACCAGUGGCGAAGGCGACUACCUGGCCUGUUCUUGACGCUGAGGCGCGAAAGCUAGGGGAGCAAACGGG
This 253-nucleotide ribosomal RNA is filed under the name uncultured bacterium. Its description in RNAcentral is "partial 16S ribosomal RNA". It matches the Rfam family "Bacterial small subunit ribosomal RNA", at positions 524 to 776 of the family's 1533-position model. The record is from RNAcentral.